AUUGAACGCUGGCGGCAUGCUUUACACAUGCAAGUCGAACGGCAGCGAGGAGAAGCUUGCUUCUCUGUCGGCGAGUGGCGAACGGGUGAGUAUAGCAUCGGAACGUGCCAAGUAGUGGGGGAUAACCAAACGAAAGUUUGGCUAAUACCGCGUAAGCUCUAAGGAGGAAAGUAGGGGACCUAAUAAGGCCUUACGCUAUUUGAUCGGCCGAUGUCGGAUUAGCUAGUUGGUGGGGUAAUGGCUCACCAAGGCAAUGAUCCGUAGCGGGUCUGAGAGGACGAUCCGCCACACUGGGACUGAGACACGGCCCAGACUCCUACGGGAGGCAGCAGUGGGGAAUUUUGGACAAUGGGGGAAACCCUGAUCCAGCCAUGCCGCGUGUAUGAAGAAGGCCUUAGGGUUGUAAAGUACUUUUGUUAGGGAAGAAAAGCUAGUUUUUAAUAAAAAUUAGUGAUGACGGUACCUAAAGAAUAAGCACCGGCUAACUACGUG
This 492-nucleotide ribosomal RNA is filed under the name uncultured bacterium. RNAcentral's name for it is "partial 16S ribosomal RNA". It matches the Rfam family "Bacterial small subunit ribosomal RNA", at positions 30 to 507 of the family's 1533-position model. The record is from RNAcentral.